This 460-nucleotide ribosomal RNA is filed under the name uncultured bacterium. RNAcentral describes it as "partial 16S ribosomal RNA". It matches the Rfam family "Bacterial small subunit ribosomal RNA", at positions 338 to 795 of the family's 1533-position model. The record is from RNAcentral.
CCUACGGGGGGCAGCAGUGAGGAAUAUUGGUCAAUGGGCGCUAGCCUGAACCAGCCAAGUAGCGUGAAGGAUGACUGCCCUAUGGGUGGUAAACUUCUUUUAUAUGGGAAUAAAGUGCAGUAUGUAUACUGCUUUGCAUGUACCUUAUGAUUAAAGAUCGGCUAACUCCGGGCCAGCAGCCGCGGUAAUACGGAGGGUCCGAGCGUUAUGCGGAUUUAUUUGGUUGAAAGGGAGCGUAGGCGGGUUGGUAAGUCAGUUGUGAAAGUUUGCGGCUCAACCGUAAAAUUGCAGUUGAUACUGGCAUCCUUGAGUGCAGGAGAGGUAGGCGGAAUUCGUGGUGUAGCGGUGAAAUGCGUAGAUAUCACGAAGAACUCCAGUGGCGAAGGCAGCCUGCUGGACUGUAACUGACGCUGAUGCUCGAAAGUGUGGGUAGCAAACAGGAUUAGAUACCCUUGUAGUC